AAUGGAUUUACAACAGAAAGGCGUGAAAUUUUUGAAGUUCAAAGUUUUGUACUUUCCAGACCUGCACAACGAAUUACCUAUUUGAAAAAUAGAAUAUGGUUAGAAAUUGCUGAUGUAAUAGAGGAUUCAAGUACCAUUUACAAACAAAAUAUUGAAGAGAAUGUGCUCAAAGGAAAUGCAUAUGAAUUCUUUUUUGUUGACCAGGAUGGAACAAUUCUUUGAAACCUAUAGUUAGAAUAAGUUAGUUAGGCCUAGUGAUGUACCAGCCAGAAGUAGAGGAUGACAAAGAAAAU
Molecule: long non-coding RNA, 293 nt
Organism: Nilaparvata lugens (brown planthopper)
Lineage: Eukaryota; Metazoa; Arthropoda; Insecta; Hemiptera; Delphacidae
Exons: 3
Source: RefSeq, a predicted model, not a curated record